Molecule: non-coding RNA, 81 nt
Organism: Pelobates cultripes (western spadefoot toad)
Lineage: Eukaryota; Metazoa; Chordata; Amphibia; Anura; Pelobatidae
Source: the annotation of a GenBank genome assembly
AAUUAGACUGCAUGUGGAGAAUGGGCUAUAUAUAUCUAUAUAUCUAUAUAUAGAGCAUUCUCCACGUGCAGUCUAAUUGAG